This 253-nucleotide ribosomal RNA is filed under the name uncultured bacterium. RNAcentral's name for it is "partial 16S ribosomal RNA". It matches the Rfam family "Bacterial small subunit ribosomal RNA", at positions 524 to 776 of the family's 1533-position model. The record is from RNAcentral.
UACGGGGGGGGCAAGCGUUGUUCGGAAUUACUGGGCGUAAAGGGCUCGUAGGCGGCCAACUAAGUCGGACGUGAAAUCCCUCGGCUUAACCGGGGAACUGCGUCCGAUACUGGAUGGCUUGAGUUCGGGAGAGGGAUGCGGAAUUCCAGGUGUAGCGGUGAAAUGCGUAGAUAUCUGGAAGAACAUCGGUGGCGAAGGCGGUCUGCUGGGCCGUUGCUGACGCUGAGGCGCGACAGCGUGGGGAGCAAACAGG